ACUAGCUGAAUAUUCUAAAAUUCAUUCCAUUAUUUACUGCCAGUUAACUUCCAUGAUCAUCUCAAAACUGCUCAUUCAGGUUUGGAGCCUGAAUUCCACUCCUCUGAACAAAGCAUUCAGCACCUAUGAACAUGCACAAAGAACUUGUGCUGGGGAAGAACCUCAACCCCCUGAGAGCAUUGACUGCCAACCUGCACAGCACACCAGCAUUCCAGCCAGCUUCUUACAACCAACACUGUCAGAGAGUGCACAGAAUUCUCCAGCUGAUGGGUGAUUUACACACAAUAUACGUGACCAGGGUCUUAAAUUCCCUCUGAAGCCAGAUGCUGACACAUCCUGAGUACCUUGUCAGUGCAGGUGUUGAAUCCUUCACUGAAUUCACUGGGUGUAAAAUAAUCCAAGGACUCUAAGCCUACUCCAGAAUGGAAAGACAUGACAAGGUCUAGACAAGCUGCCCUGUCAGACUGAAGGCAUUACGCAUUUAAUAAAAGCAGAAAGGAAGAAACUCAUCAGGCUUUUUAUCUUCCAGGACAGCGUGCUCAGAUUAAGCCUUCAUUUACUUGUGGCAAAUGAAAUACUCAUCAGCUCAGUGAUUCUGAACCUUAUCCUCCCCUUGCUCUGAAAGUGUUACAAGUGAGAAAUUAACGGACAACUGCUAAUGGAAUUAAAAGUUUUUUUAUCUCUAUUCACCGUUUCUAUAUGGUCCAAAUCCCAGUGACUGAGAAAAUAACCUGAUGUUUUUACAGUCUAAUGGGGCGUGUGGUCAGUCGCUCAUUAACAAUAUGGAUAUCUCAAGUUGCUGGCAAAAUUUGCCUAUCCAGACAGUUCUAAUCUAACUUAAACUCAUUUCAGGGGCAAAAAAAGAGCUGGUUCUGCUGUUUCAGGGCUUGGGAGGCUCUGAGGCCUGAUGGGCGUCACUAAGGGCAGUAGGUGUAGAGGUGGCUCUGUGACACGGCUCAGAAUCUCGUGUUUUUCAUCUAAAACUUGAUAUUCUUGAUGGAGGAAUUUUCCAAGGAACCAUCAUAUUUCAGUGCUGAUUGCUGAAAGCUUGGAUUCUGAGGUGGUUGGAGUUGGUGUGGCUGGAAAGAGCCGAACCCUGGGGCCGGGAAGAGCCGAACCCUGGGGCCGGGUCGGAGCCGCCUCAGCCCGGGAAGAGCCGAACCCUUCGGCCGGGUCGGAGCCGCCUCAGCCUCGAGGGCACAAGCCCCUCCCGGUGUCCGUGUGAAAACGGGAUCGAGGUGUGGGAGCUGCCGUCCCUGGCAGCUCUGCUCCCGGGCUGCCUCCCUGGAACCUCAUUGCUGUGGAUGUGGGGGAUCCCAGGAUCCUGUGGAAACCCUGGCUGCCCUUCAAACCGCCCCGAGCCCGUCCGGCCCUGCCUCGGGAUCGCCGCCAUUACCGCAGCCCCGUCAGCUGCGGUCAAUGUUAGAGCCCCGCUCCAGAGGGGAGAUUUCCUCGUGAAGUGUGGAGAAAAAAUAUACAUAAUUGAGUUUAUAGCUCGAAAAGUGGUAAAACAGCCCUUGAAGAAGUCAUUAGAUGUGAAUGGACUCAAUGAUUUCUGCCUGAAUCAUCAGCAAGCUUUAAAGACGCACAAUGUGUGCGUGAGGGAAAGGCAGGAGCCCCGGCCGAGGAGUGUUCCUGAAAUCCCACUGACUUUGUCGUUUUUGUAAUUUUAUUUGUAUUUGUCACUAAAACGUGACUGGAAAACUGACACAAAUGCAUUGGAUUUCACACCGCUUCACAAGCGGUGAAGGUGCAAAGGACAAUGAUAUCCCACACCAGCGUUCCUCAUCCACCGCCUCUGCCUUCUGCUGAAGCCGGGACUGUGACACCGUGACCGGGUUUCCUGCUGCUCCACACCUUAUCCUGAGCCGUUCCCAGCCCUUCCCUGGAAUCGCCGCCUCUCAGAGCCGUCAGUGGAGCUGCGUUUGGAGCCUCUCCGCGGGCCGGCUGUGCUGAGCUGGGCUGCGCUGGAAAACCCCCGUGGUUUGUGUUGGACAGUGCCAGCCUGUUUGUGCAGCACCUCAUCCUGUACGUCAUCCUCCUCUGGGCUCCUGCUCUCUGUCACCCCGACAUCUGCACUGCUGCCCACCUCUGCCACCCCAACAUCUGCACUGCUCCCCACCUCUGCCACCCCAACAUCUGCACUG
Molecule: long non-coding RNA, 2147 nt
Organism: Camarhynchus parvulus
Lineage: Eukaryota; Metazoa; Chordata; Aves; Passeriformes; Thraupidae
Exons: 3
Source: RefSeq, a predicted model, not a curated record